UCUACAUGCCGGCAGAGUCUGUUACCCAGUGUUCUGUUCCCAGCUCUGACGCCACAGAGCCUUUACCCCGUGUCCCCCUUCCCCAUUUCCUAUUCCCACCUCCUCCCUCUUAGCAGGCCCAAAUAUACCUGCAAUGCAGGCCCCUAGUCACACCCCUUACAACUUAUGGUCAUAUUCCGUUUUGAAGGGUUGUGAGUCUGGGGUCUUCAUCCCAACUCUUUUGUAUCCCAUUGGAGGGGUAAGGAGUGAGGUUGUGUUCUGCCCAAGGCUAGGCUUUUCUUUGCCUUUUAGUGUUUCUGAUGCCUCCCUCCCAUCCCCCCUUGCCCUUCCCGACUGGUUGCUUGACCUUGGCUUGUGAUAGGAGUUGAGUCAGUCUGAAAGUAUGUGCCCGUAUAUUACACUCCCACCAUGCCCAGUAACUCUUUAACUGUUCUUAUCUGUCCCCACUAUACUAACAAACCCAUCUGGCCAGGCAGAAGCAACACAUACAGUGUCUUUGUUCUUUGUUCACACAUAUUAGUAUAAGAUAUAAGAGUAUCAAAAAGUCAAACCCAAAAUUCUAUCCCAGGCUAACAAAUAGGCCUAUAUACUAACACGAGUCAACAACUUUUUACCAGAGGAUCAAUGGAAUAUCUGCAUAUACAUUCAUGUAAAACGGUACAAUCCCUGCCUUGAAGAGAUGACAAUCAAAGGGCCCAAUGGAAGCCUCAGACCCUGAUCCUGUCUCAUAAGAGCUGUUCGCACAGCAGUGUAACAAGAAGUUUUAUUUAGCCCACAAACUCAUGAGCAACACUCAUGUUCCAAAGACAAGCUGUCCAUCACAUGGCAUGGAAAAACCUCAGAGUUCUGUCCCUAAGCAUGUUCCUGCAUACCUUGCUGAGUCCCAAGGCAUGUCUGCUUUCUCUCAAUGGAUCAAUUGUAUAGCUGAUGGUCCUUAAUGGGGCAUCAAGCAGGCUAGGAAGAGCUGACACCAACUUGUCUGGGGUGUCACCCAGAAGCAGAGCAUAAAGACAGUAUAGAGUCAAUAUUCAUAACUUUAAAUACAAAUUGAUACAUGCAUACAGAUCGCAUAAUCAUAACCAGCAAACCAUAAUCUUGUCUUAGACACCUUAUUUGACCCCCCUUUAUACAAGAUUUGGUGCCACUACGGGACCUUGGUUGCAACCAUGUUCUAUAUGGCCCCAGUUCAAGUCAAUAACGUGACACCCCCAACGCAAAAUUGAUGCAGGAAGGGAUGACACAAACAUUGCUGACUGCAUCUCAAGAGCUCCCCAUCCUUGGUUCUGCCUUACUACAGCUAGUAUUGGGUUAGAAGCUGUACCAGUGUAUAACAGAAAUGGUUUAUCAAAGUCAUGUUCAAUAACGUGAUUGAAUCUCUUUACAAACUCAAGGUAAAACUUGGUUAGAACAACAGUGGAUUGGAUCUGCUCUUGCAGCAUGGUUCCUGUAUGUCUCAUGUGAUCUUGCCAAGAGCUAAAGAACAGAGCUGCUUUAUCCACACAAGCUCUGGCAAAUGUUUGAAACCCAAUUAACAUCAAGUUAAUGUAGAUAUUACUGUUGUUUAUAGUACAGGAAUCUUGGCAUUUAGCCGUGAAAGCAAUAUGUUAGCGUGCCUCAGUUUCCCUUUUCAUACAGCCCAUCAGGUCUGGAAUGUCUUUUCCCCUGUGAAAAGUUCCAGGACUGUUUACAGACUCUAACUGUGACACAUCAGUAUAACAAGGCCUUUUAACAUAAAGUGUGUUUUUAUGUAUCGCUCUUAGCAUGUUUAAGGGAUUUUCCAAAGGGCUAGGCACAUUGUACAUUUUUACAGUUCUUGGUAAUAGCAACACAUUAGUUACAAAAUUUACCAUUAGCAAUAACAAUGUUAGGUGAGAAAAGCUAAACAGGAGGCAGUUAUGCCAACCAAACCAAAGUCAGGCUAAGAGAAGCUGCUGAGAAAGUCUCUGAAAGUAGAAUGAAGGAAUAUUUGUUUAAGUUACAGAGAGUGAGAAAAAAGGGGAGGCCUGCAUUCCUGCAUUUUUGUACCAGAUGUGCUGGGAACUGUCCUUGAGAUACAGAAGCUCUGUUUUCCACUCCCUGCUCUUGUGUUAUGCCUGUUUUAACUCCUUGUCUCCUGGUUGACACCCAUACCGAUAAGAAAGUUAGUGAAGCACUACGAUUUGCUAAAAGUUAUCUGCAAUAAGGGGGGUAGAUGUGCAUGCAUAUAGAGAAAGAGGAUUUUAACUAAUAUGGGGGGGGGCUGCUUUAUGAAUAAAUCUGUGACGCGACGGGACUGUCUAUAAAAACCUAUGAGUUUUACUUAGAGGCUGCCUGGUUCUCUUUGGAGUGUGCACUCUUCAAUAAAGAGCGUUGGGUUCGGACCUUGUUGGUGUUGCCAGUCUCUCUCCGGUCAGACAAUGAACCGUGCCGUCUGGGGUUCGAGUCCUCGACAAUUUGGCGACUCCGCCAGGACCCGUCUGACUCUCCGGCGAGGGAUCAGACUCUAAAGCAACGCAGCGCACAUCCUCCGGCUUCGAGGAGCCUUGCCAGUGAUCUGAUCCCUGCGUCGGCGAUAAGGCGUGUUCUGUGAACCAGCAGGAGCCCAUAGAAAUCCAGCAACAUCCACCUACCCGUUGAGUUGGCUCCAGAUUCAGGUCUUCGGGGUUUGAGUCCCUGGAGAGGGUCUUCAGGGUUCGAGUCCCUGGAGAGGGGUCUCCAGCCCCGCUCUGUGCUAUGCCUGCUUCUGCCCCUCCUCCGGCUUUCUGACCUAUGCCCAGGACCAGUUGCAAGCCUUAAGACAGAACUUCCAGGCAGAAAAGGAAGCACUGGCUAAGCAAGUACCAGUCCUUCAGAGACUUGUCAAAAUUCAACCAUUUGUGCUCAGCAUAUGCCGUAACAACAGUGUGUCUGCCAUAAGAGGAAAUUGAAUAGUUAAGCCGCCAAUUGGCUGUGCGUUCUGUCCAGGUGACAAGCACCCUGGGGGGAGGACUCGGGUAGCCCUUGUAAGUGAGAAUAUUUAAGAAAAGAGACCAGGAAGGCUGGGGGCUAGUUAAAAAGCCCACCCUCCUUGUGAAAUUGGUAGUGGAACAAAGCUGGUGCUCAUGGAAGGGACAGUUCAGAGAGAAAAACAGGAUCGGGCCCAAGCGGGCAGGCAACAGAUAGAUUGGAAAACAGGUUGGAAACUUGGAGGGCAUAGUGAAAAAAAAGAAGUAAAUAAUUACAGGAAUGGGAAACUUAAAUCCUGGAAUAAUACUUGGAAUGGUAAAAUCUGAGUUGAUCGGGGUGUCGUUUGGGAAAAUAAGCAAGUGAUUUAAGGAAAGAAAGUGAGAAGUUAACUCUGUAGUUGCUGGAGGGAAUUAUGCUAAAGAAAAAGAAUUUUUGGUUUCUUUGCAGCCAUUCUGAAGGAAAAAGGGGCCUUUUUUUCAAAGAAAUGUCUGUAAAUAAAUCCAGGCAAAGAGACUAUGUGAUUGAAAUCAUUUGGCUACGAAAAAUUUAGACAAAUUAGCUAAAAGAACAUAAGGGGUUUUAUUGGAACUUAACUGCCCAAAUGUAUAAAGGAAUGUAAAUAUAUAAUGCUACUUAAUUAAGAUCCUAUUAGACUCUAAGGGGCUACAAUAGUUGGUGUUUUCCUUUUUAGAGUCGUGUGUUGUGAAAACAGGAGUUAAAAGUAAAAGGCAAUCUAAAGUCCGGUAAAGUUUAUUGUGCCCUUUUUAAAGUAAGAAUCUUUAAGCUGUGGAUCCAAAAGCAAGCCAAAAAGCAUUUGUUUUAAUGUAAAUUACCUAACUGAUAAGGUAGAAGCCACUAAAACCUGGGCUGCCUAUGAAACAAAUACAAGAAAAUAUGGGUAAUUCCUCUGUUUUGCCUGCAAUUAAUAAGGGUAUUUGUAUAAAAAGAAAAUAUUUUAAGCAAUGACUGACUGCCCAAAAGGGGUAGAUCUGUGUUCUUUUUGCCUUUCAGAAAAUUAGAAAAUACUGAUGCCAAGUAAAAAGCAAUUCAACAUCUCAUGAAUUUACUGGCACAAUAGGAAUUCUGUUCUGUGUUCUAUGUCCUGUCUUGUGGUGUUUGUCUUGUGGCCAGAAUUGCUGUGUUUAAUUUUUCAUAGGACAGUUUAGUUUAAAACUAAAUAGAAGAGUUAAAUCAAAAUGCAGAUACUUGUUUUAUUCAACUUGAAAUACAAAGCGUUUGGAUAAUAUCAGGAAAAUGUGAUAUACUAAAGUUUAAUACAUUUGCUUAAGUAAGUAAAAGAAAUUUAGUUGUCCAGAUCUUUUAAUUAAAAAAAAAAUUGUUAAAAUGCGCACACCAACAGUCUUUGGAAGCAAGGACAUGAAAGGUUAACCCACUCCCCAUAUUAUACAUGGGAUCCUUCUGGCUACCUCAAAUUUCUAGCCAAAGGGCUGGGGAGGGAGGAAAGCUAUUGGACACCAGAGGUUGUACCAAGUGGACUCCUCAAAAGUGGGUGUGCUUGUCCUGGCUUGUUGCUCCAAAGCUCCGUAAUAAAGUCAUUUUCCUAGAAGGGUGUAUGUGGCAUACAUUGAACAAUAAGACUAAAGUGCUGUAUAAUGGGCAAUGUACAUGUGUUCAUUUUUGAACAAAGGUGUGUGAGUGGAAAGUGAAAGUUUCCUUUGCAGGUUAAUAGAAGCCAAGAAGGAGAGAAGAAAAAGAACGGAGGACGAGCUAAUUCAACACUGUAGCUGGCAGGCUCGGUCCAAAGAUAAGACGCUGGCCUGCCCAAGGACACUACUCACAGCUAGGAUUUGGCUAACAGCCAAGAAAGAGGGGGGCUUGAAUGUGCCCAAGCAGCUGUGAGAUCUGUAAAACACUGCCAAACAUUAAUGAAAUGUGUUAGGUCUCUGUAUUUACAGGUGAAAGAAGUCCUGCUCCAAGGAUCCUGAGCAAACCUGCCAUAUGUUAAAACCAGGUGACUGGGUCUACAUAAAGGUCCAUUAACGAAGGACUACUCUGGCCCCAUGCUGGAAGGGCCCUUAUUAAGUCCUGCUAACUACCAAUGCCGCUGUGAAGUGCCAAGGACUGACUGCCUGGACCCAUACUUCUUACUGCAAAAAGACCCCUCCACCUCAAGAUGACUUCACUUCGACUACUGAUCAGCCUGUCCCUCCUUCUGGGUUUUUGUCUUUCCUCCUUUUGGACAGCAGGGGAAAAAACAAGGUGAAGUGCUAGUAACCUCUCCCUUGUCCACUAACAGAGCUAACCUGUAUUGCACCGCUAGGGAAUCUGACCUGGAAAAAGGUUCCCCAGAAGCAGACGGCGUCAGACUUCGAGGGAGCCACGCACAUUCACCCCACCGUGACCCGGGUGAAUCAGAAGCAGACAACAUCUCUGCUCAAGACAAAUGGACUGCUACCCCUUUGGGCAACCUGAAGCUCCGGCUGCAGCUAAAAAAACCUUGAGUUGGUGGUGUCCUCUCAAAGAAAGAUGGCCCCGUUCUCUAAGCUGGGUUCUUGUGUUUUUAAUCUGUUUAGUAUUUGUUAUCUUUCUUUUCUGGGGAGUUGAGACUAUAGAAUCACACAGUUCUAACACAUUUAUACGUCUUGCCCAUGAAAUGAAAUCUCAUAUGCCAGACUUACAAAACACUUCAUGCUGGGUGUGCUCAUUAAUACCAGCAGAUAGCCAAAAAGGUCUUUGCAGGGCUCCUAUUCCCCUUAGUGCAAUGAAUAUGACCUGAACCCCGUCCUGAAAGAAUUCUUCAGGCAAUUGAAAUAUUACCUGGGCUGAUACUGGCAUCUCUGAAAGCAGGUAUCUAGUAGUUUGGAAACGAGUUGGUCAAUGGUGCCUCUUAAGAGAAGGGAAAAUAGCUUUGGGUAAUACUGAGUGCACAGUCUACUUUAACGGCACUCAUUUCGGGAGUAAAAGAGGUCCUAAUAUCUCUCUCUCCCGGAUGGGGCAACCUCUUGCACCUCCGCGUGGUAUAGAUUUGCGGGUAACAAGUGCAGUCUGCAAGGGGAAGAACACUUUUUGUAUAAAGAUCAUAUGCUGAUUGACUAUUGUGUUAUAAAUUGCACGCUGGGGUAUAACCUGCCAACUCAUACUAUGUGUUUAUGUUCCUCUAACGCCCCAGUGGCUAAAUUCUCCCUCCUCCCAUCUUGGACCGGAUGGUACAAAUGUAUUAAUAAUACCUGGUCCAAAGUCACGCCUAUCCUUUUUGAAGUAUACCGGGUGUGUGGUAACAAGGCAUACCUGGCCCUCCCUCCUUCAUGGAGUGGAUCCUGCUACUUGGCUUGGUUAGAACCACCCGUAGUAUAUCGCGCACAUCUCCCUAAAGGGGAAAUCAGAAAUGUAAGAGGGGCUGAGGAAGAUGCGAAUGACUCUCGCCCCCUUACUUGGCGUGCCCUAAAUGAUUGGACGGGUGCUUGUGCAGGAUUUGUCUUUGCCUG
This is an RNA transcript of Caretta caretta (loggerhead turtle), 6371 nucleotides long. It is a transcript of the gene named olfactory receptor 51E1-like, with no coding region annotated. The record is from RefSeq and is a predicted model, not a curated record. NCBI's taxonomy places the organism in Eukaryota, Metazoa, Chordata, Testudines, Cheloniidae.